RNAcentral lists this ribosomal RNA (435 nucleotides) under uncultured bacterium. Its description in RNAcentral is "partial 16S ribosomal RNA". It matches the Rfam family "Bacterial small subunit ribosomal RNA", at positions 28 to 507 of the family's 1533-position model. The record is from RNAcentral.
GAUGAACGCUGGCGGUAUGCUUAACACAUGCAAGUCGAACGGACUCUUCGGAGUUAGUGGCGGACGGGUGAGUAACGCGUGAGAAUCUGGCUUUGGGUUCGGGACAACCACUGGAAACGGUGGCUAAUACCGGAUGUGCCGAGAGGUAAAAGAAAAAUUGCCUGGAGAUGAGCUCGCGUCUGAUUAGCUAGUUGGUGAGGUAAAGGCCCACCAAGGCAGCGAUCAGUAGCUGGUCUGAGAGGAUGACCAGCCACACUGGGACUGAGACACGGCCCAGACUCCUACGGGAGGCAGCAGUGGGGAAUUUUCCGCAAUGGGCGAAAGCCUGACGGAGCAAUACCGCGUGAGGGAAGAAGGCUCUUGGGUUGUAAACCUCUUUUCUUAGGGAAGAACAAAAUGACGGUACCUAAGGAAUCAGCAUCGGCUAACUCCGUG